Quercus robur (English oak) is the source of this 93-nucleotide small nucleolar RNA. Lineage: Eukaryota; Viridiplantae; Streptophyta; Magnoliopsida; Fagales; Fagaceae. The record is from RefSeq and is a predicted model, not a curated record.
AAUUGGCAGUGAUGAUGAAAAUUUCAGCUUUAAUGCCAGUUCUGCUUCAGAAAAUUCUUGAUUGAUAGAGCUGUUUUGUGAUCUGAGCCAUUA